UACGGAGGGUGCAAGCGUUAUCCGGAUUCACUGGGUUUAAAGGGUGCGUAGGUGGGUAGGUAAGUCAGUGGUGAAAUCUUCGAGCUUAACUCGGAAACUGCCAUUGAUACUAUUUAUCUUGAAUACUCUGGAGGUAAGCGGAAUAUGUCAUGUAGCGGUGAAAUGCUUAGAUAUGACAUAGAACACCAAUUGCGAAGGCAGCUUACUACAUAGUUAUUGACACUGAGGCACGAAAGCGUGGGGAGCAAAACGG
Molecule: ribosomal RNA, 253 nt
Filed under: uncultured bacterium
Lineage: Bacteria
Description: partial 16S ribosomal RNA
Rfam family: Bacterial small subunit ribosomal RNA
Source: RNAcentral